Molecule: ribosomal RNA, 588 nt
Filed under: Triticum aestivum (bread wheat)
Lineage: Eukaryota; Viridiplantae; Streptophyta; Magnoliopsida; Poales; Poaceae
Description: partial small subunit ribosomal RNA
Source: RNAcentral
AUGGAAGUCAAGAUGCGGGCUUUGUUGCCACAGUCCGACUAUGAUGAAGCACUGGAUAGUUUUGGGAAGAAUAGAAUUCAAGACUGGACUGUUGAGGAGAAAAGAAUUGAUUGUAAGGCUUUGUCACAAAUUCAACUCCAUUUGCAUAAUAAUAUUUUGCAGGAAGUUUUCAGCGAGAAAACUGCCGCCGCUCUAUGGUUAAAGUUGGAAGGGAUUUGCAUGACUAAAGAUCUCACCAUCAAGAUGCAUCUGAAGCAAAAAUUAUUCCUGCGCAGGUUACCCGAGGGAGAUAGUGUUUUGAAUCAUAUUUCAGAAUUUAAAGAGAUCAUGUCCGAUCUAGCUGCAAUGGAGGUUAAGUAUGAAGAGGAAGAUACUGCUUCAAUGUUACUUUGUUCUCUGCCAAGUUCUUAUACCAAUUUUAGAGACACCAUAUUAUACAGUUGUGAUACUCUCACACUUGAUGAAGUUUAUGAAGCUUUGAGAUCUAAUGAGAAGAUGAAAUUACUGGUGCCUCAUGAUGGUUCGAGUUCAUCCCAAGCCGAGGGAUUGUCUGUUCGUGGCAGGACAAAGGAGAAGAACUCACAUAAU